CAGUUGUCGUCAGAUUUCGUUGGUGAUUUCAAAUAUGAAAUUUAAUUGUAAGCCUAGUGAACAGUUUUGGAGAAUUUGAUGUUUCCCCAUUCAAAUAGAUGGGAGCUGCACUUGGAUGCCGGAGAGGCGUUUCAAAGAUGGCCGCCGAGUGACAUGACUUCUCUUAAAAGAGACUUUGUUACUACUCAGGCCUACUGAACAAAGAAAUUCAUGCAGGUUUGGAACAACACCAGGGUGGUGUAGCAUGUGUGAAAUAGUGCAGGGUGCAGAAGAUGGAAGCAGAUUUUUAAACCUUAGAUCUCAUUCAGACUGACAUCAAAGAUGAACUCAAGGGAAAUUCGAACAAUGGGAAAUAAAAGAGAUAACUUACAAGAAAGAAACUACAGAGCAAAUAAAUAUAUUGAACUGAGAAGUUGAAGGCCUAACAAGUCAAGUUCAAAGCUACUAUUUUAGAUGCAGCUGUGUCUUCAUGGUUAGUGGAUAGUGCUUCUGAAUUCAGCACCAUGGACAGUUACUCUACAAUUCAGUGGUUUAUUCAAACACACUCGACAGACAUCAUUAUUAUCUUUCAUCCGCUGUAGUUACAUAAGAUGGCAC
Onychostoma macrolepis is the source of this 597-nucleotide long non-coding RNA. RefSeq lists it as uncharacterized. The record is from RefSeq and is a predicted model, not a curated record. The transcript is spliced from 4 exons. NCBI's taxonomy places the organism in Eukaryota, Metazoa, Chordata, Actinopteri, Cypriniformes, Cyprinidae.